RNAcentral lists this ribosomal RNA (887 nucleotides) under uncultured archaeon. Its description in RNAcentral is "bacterial SSU rRNA". It matches the Rfam family "Archaeal small subunit ribosomal RNA", at positions 5 to 879 of the family's 1478-position model. The record is from RNAcentral.
CGGUUGAUCCUGCCGGAGGUUACUGCUAUCAGAGUUCGAUUAAGCCAUGUUAGUCGAGGGUACUUCUUCUUCUUCGGAGGAUGAGGUAACCCGGCGGACGGCUCAGUAACACGUGGAUAACUUGCCCUUGGGUCUGGGAUAACCCCUGGGAAACUGGGGCUAAUACCGGAUAGAGCAUCAAUCGCUGGAAUGCCUGAUGCUCGAAAACUACGGUGCCCAAGGAUAGGUCUGCGGCUGAUUAGGUUGUUGUUGAUGUAAUGGACCAACAAGCCUACGAUCGGUACGGGUUGUGAGAGCAAUAGCCCGGAGAUGGGUUCUGAGAAGAGAACCCAGGUCCUACGGGACGCAUCAGGCGCGAAAACUUUACAAUGUGCGAAAGCACGAUAAGGGAACUCUGAGUGCCUCCUAAGGAGGCUGUUCAGGUGUCUAAAAAGCACUUGAAGGAAGGGCUGGGUAAGACCGGUGCCAGCCGCCGCGGUAACACCGGCAGCCCAAGUGGUAGUCACGCUUAUUGGGUCUAAAGCGUCCGUAGCCGGCUGAGUAAGUUCUUUGGGAAAUUUAACCGCUUAACGGUUAAGCUUUCAGUGAAUACUGCUUAGCUUGGGACCGGGAGAGGUCAGAGGUACCUCAAGGGUAGGGGUGAAAUCCAUUAAUCCUUGAGGGACCACCGGUAGCGAAGGCGUCUGACCAGACCGGGUCCGACGGUGAGGGACGAAGGCUAGGGUCGCGAACCGGAUUAGAUACCCGGGUAGUCCUAGCUGUAAACGAUGCGGGCCAGGUGUUGGCAUUACUGCGAGUGAUGUCAGUGCCGAAGGGAAGCCGUUAAGCCCGCCAUCUGGGGAGUACGGUCGCAAGGCUAAAACUUAAAGGAAUUGGCGGGGGAGCAC